RNAcentral lists this ribosomal RNA (866 nucleotides) under uncultured bacterium. RNAcentral describes it as "bacterial SSU rRNA". It matches the Rfam family "Bacterial small subunit ribosomal RNA", at positions 23 to 897 of the family's 1533-position model. The record is from RNAcentral.
CUCAGGAUGAACGCUGGCGGCGUGCUUAACACAUGCAAGUCGAACGGGAUCCAUCGGGCUUUGCCUGGUGGUGAGAGUGGCGAACGGGUGAGUAAUGCGUGACCGACCUGCCCCAUGCACCGGAAUAGCUCCUGGAAACGGGUGGUAAUGCCGGAUGCUCCAUCACACCGCAUGGUGUGUUGGGAAAGCCUUUGCGGCAUGGGAUGGGGUCGCGUCCUAUCAGCUUGAUGGCGGGGUAACGGCCCACCAUGGCUUCGACGGGUAGCCGGCCUGAGAGGGCGACCGGCCACAUUGGGACUGAGAUACGGCCCAGACUCCUACGGGAGGCAGCAGUGGGGAAUAUUGCACAAUGGGCGCAAGCUGAUGCAGCGACGCCGCGUGAGGGAUGGAGGCCUUCGGGUUGUAAACCUCUUUUGUUAGGGAGCAAGGCACUUUGUGUUGAGUGUACCUUUCGAAUAAGCACCGGCUAACUACGUGCCAGCAGCCGCGGUAAUACGUAGGGUGCAAGCKUUAUCCGGAAUUAUUGGGCGUAAAGGGCUCGUAGGCGGUUCGUCGCGUCCGGUGUGAAAGUCCAUCGCUUAACGGUGGAUCCGCGCCGGGUACGGGCGGGCUUGADUGCGGUAGGGGAGACUGGAAUUCCCGGUGUAACGGUGGAAUGUGUAGAUAUCGGGAAGAACACCAAUGGCGAAGGCAGGUCUCUGGGCCGUUACUGACGCUGAGGAGCGAAACUNGGGGAGCGAACAVGAUUARAUACCCUGGUAGUCCACGCCGUAAACGGUGGAUGCUGGAUGUGGGGCCCGUUCCACGGGUUCCGUGUCGGAGCUAACGCGUUAAGCAUCCCGCCUGNGAGUACGGCCGCAAGCUAA